GAAGCAGAUAGCUCAUCCUGGUAGAGCAUUUGGUGAGAGACCAGAGGGUAGGGGGUUCAAAUCCUCCUCCGUUUCA
Molecule: transfer RNA, 76 nt
Filed under: Myxococcales bacterium
Lineage: Bacteria; Pseudomonadati; Myxococcota; Myxococcia; Myxococcales
Description: tRNA-Ser
Rfam family: tRNA
About the family: Transfer RNA (tRNA) molecules are approximately 80 nucleotides in length. Their secondary structure includes four short double-helical elements and three loops (D, anti-codon, and T loops).
Source: RNAcentral